RNAcentral lists this ribosomal RNA (482 nucleotides) under uncultured anaerobic ammonium-oxidizing bacterium. RNAcentral's name for it is "bacterial SSU rRNA". It matches the Rfam family "Bacterial small subunit ribosomal RNA", at positions 365 to 837 of the family's 1533-position model. The record is from RNAcentral.
UUCGCAAUGCCCGAAAGGGUGACGAAGCGACGCCGCGUGCGGGAAGAAGGCCUUCGGGUUGUAAACCGCUGUCGGGAGUUAAGAAAUGUAAGGAUGUUAAUAGCAUCUUUGCUUGACUAAGGCUCCGGAGGAAGCCACGGCUAACUCUGUGCCAGCAGCCGCGGUAAUACAGAGGCGGCAAGCGUUGUUCGGAAUUAUUGGGCGUAAAGAGCACGUAGGCGGCUAUGUAAGUCGGUUGUGAAAGCCUUCCGCUCAACGGGAGAACGGCAUCCGAUACUGCAUGGCUUGAGUGCGGGAGGGGAGAGUGGAACUUCUGGUGGAGCGGUGAAAUGCGUAGAUAUCAGAAGGAACGCCGGCGGCGAAAGCGGCUCUCUGGCCCAUAACUGACGCUGAGUGUGCGAAAGCUAGGGGAGCAAACGGGAUUAGAUACCCCGGUAGUCCUAGCCGUAAACGAUGGGCACUAAGUAGAGGGGUUUUAAUCG